UUCCGGUUGAUCCCGCCGGACCUGACUGCUAUCGGAUUGAUACUAAGCCAUGCGAGUCUUUGUAGUAAUACAAGGCAUACGGCUCAGUAACACGUAGUCAACCUACCCUAUGGACGAGAAUAAUCUCGGGAAACUGAGCAUAAUUCUUGAUAGAUCAUAAUGCCUGGAAUGGUUUAUGGUUAAAAUGAUUCGUCGCCAUAGGAUGGGACUGCGGCCUAUCAGCUUGUUGGUGAGGUAAUGGCCCACCAAGGCGAUUACAGGUACGGGCUCUGAGAGGAGAAGCCCGGAGAUGGGUACUGAGACACGGACCCAGGCCCUAUGGGGCGCAGCAGGCGAGAAAACUUUGCAAUGUGCGAAAGCACGACAAGGUUAAUCCGAGUGAUUUCUGCUAAAGAAAUCUUUUGCCAGUCGUAAAAACGCUGGUGAAUAAGGGGUGGGCAAGUUCUGGUGUCAGCCGCCGCGGUAAAACCAGCACCUCAAGUGGUCAGGAUGAUUAUUGGGCCUAAAGCAUCCGUAGCCGGCUUUGUAAGUUUUCGGUUAAAUCCAUGUGCUCAACGCAUGGGCUGCCGAAAAUACUGCAUAGCUAGGGAGUGGGAGAGGUAGACGGUACUCAGUAGGUAGGGGUAAAAUCCUUUGAUCUAUUGAUGACCACCUGUGGCGAAGGCGGUCUACCAGAACACGUUCGACGGUGAGGGAUGAAAGCUGGGGGAGCAAACCGGAUUAGAUACCCGGGUAGUCCCAGCUGUAAACGAUGCAGACUCGAUGAUGCAUUGGCAUAAUAGCCAUUGCAGUGUCGCAGGGAAGCCGUUAAGUCUGCCGCCUGGGAAGUACGUACGCAAGUAUGAAACUUAAAGGAAUUGGCGGGGGAGCACCACAAGGGGUGAAGCCUGCGGUUCAAUUGGAGUCAACGCCGGG
Molecule: ribosomal RNA, 915 nt
Filed under: uncultured marine archaeon
Lineage: Archaea
Description: bacterial SSU rRNA
Rfam family: Archaeal small subunit ribosomal RNA
Source: RNAcentral